CAGCAGCCGCGGUAUACGUAGGGUGCGAGCGUUAAUCGGAAUUACUGGGCGUAAAGCGUGCGCAGGCGGUUCGUUAAGACAGAUGUGAAAUCCCCGGGCUUAACCUGGGAACUGCAUUUGUGACUGGCGAGCUAGAGUAUGGCAGAGGGGGGUAGAAUUCCACGUGUAGCAGUGAAAUGCGUAGAGAUGUGGAGGAAUACCGAUGGCGAAGGCAGCCCCCUGGGCCAAUACUGACGCUCAUGCACGAAAGCGUGGGGAGCAAACAGGAUUAGAUACCCGCGUAGUCCCUGUCUCUUAUACA
Molecule: ribosomal RNA, 301 nt
Filed under: uncultured bacterium
Lineage: Bacteria
Description: partial 16S ribosomal RNA
Rfam family: Bacterial small subunit ribosomal RNA
Source: RNAcentral